CGAACGGGUGAGUAACGCGUGAGGAACCUGCCUCAAAGAGGGGGACAACAGUUGGAAACGACUGCUAAUACCGCAUAAGCCCACGGCUCGGCAUCGAGCAGAGGGAAAAGGAGCAAUCCGCUUUGAGAUGGCCUCGCGUCCGAUUAGCUAGUUGGUGAGGUAACGGCCCACCAAGGCGACGAUCGGUAGCCGGACUGGGAGGUUGAACGCCACAUUGGGACUGAGACACGGCCCAG
RNAcentral lists this ribosomal RNA (236 nucleotides) under uncultured bacterium. Its description in RNAcentral is "partial 16S ribosomal RNA". It matches the Rfam family "Bacterial small subunit ribosomal RNA", at positions 99 to 334 of the family's 1533-position model. The record is from RNAcentral.